This 212-nucleotide non-coding RNA is filed under the name Thermodesulfobium narugense. RNAcentral describes it as "T-box sequence". It matches the Rfam family "T-box leader". From Rfam's summary of the family: Uncharged tRNA acts as the effector for transcription antitermination of genes in the T-box leader family. T-boxes are found upstream of many aminoacyl-tRNA synthetase genes and some amino acid biosynthetic genes usually in Gram-positive bacteria. The record is from RNAcentral. Lineage: Bacteria; Pseudomonadati; Thermodesulfobiota; Thermodesulfobiia; Thermodesulfobiales; Thermodesulfobiaceae.
UUAAAGGCUAUGAACAGGAGUAGUAGAAAGCUUAACUUUCUAAGAGAGCCGAAGGUUGGUGCGAUUCGGUAAAGGGCGCUUUCGAACUCGCCUGGGAGCUUUUCUGGUGAAAUUAAGUAAUCAGAAACGUAAGACUGCGUUAAAGUUUAGAGUGAACCAUCCUUUGGAUGGUUAAUCGUGGUGGUACCGCGGAACCUCCCUCCGUCCUCGUG